AAAGACAAAAAAAAAAAAAAAAAGAAUUUUAGUGCCCAAUUCUGAGAUACUAAGCUAAGUUAGUCCAUGUGCUUGGGUUUACAUGCUUCAUUAUAAAACUAGAGAAUGGCCUAACUAAUUCUUUUAAAUUCAAUGAUUCAAUCUUUUGUGUAUUAGGAAAAUAAUGCCCUUCAUGGUCUAAGGAUAUGUAAGAAUCUUGGUUUCACUCACUCUCUAGAACACACACGCUUAUCCCAUCUCUAGUACACACACAUACACACACUACAUAUGUAUAUUGUAAACAGAUUCGCUGUAUUGGGUUUAAUUCCAAAUACAUUCAAGUGUAUAUGAAUACAAAUAUAUAUGUAUUAUGUAUGCAUUCAUAAGUAUGUAUUGUUAUGUAUUCCUACUUACAGCAUGUCUUUCAACAAUUUAUAAAGAUCUAACAUUAAAGCAAGAAUUUUCCAACACUGCUUUUAAAUAAUUUGCUUUUUUAUUAUAAAAGUAAUGCAUGCACAUUCAGAGUAUUUAGUGCAAUGGAUUAUACCAAUCUUCCUCUCUCUUUUCCGCCAACAUUUCUGAGAUUUUUAGUUAGGUGUCUUAGUUUAAUGGUUAAACUUUUGGCAAAUUGCAUGUGAAUGCGAAUUACUCAUAUCCUGGAUUGCCUUUUAUCCUUGUUUAUCUACAUUAAAUAAAGUCCAUAAUGGUCAAAGCUUAAUCAUUCACUUUACAGAAGAAAUUUAGUUAAUAAAAAUAAUUCUCUUGACUCUAAAGUCUAGAAUCCUAACCAUGGCACUGAGGUAAAAUAAACGUGAAUAUACUAUAACUGCAGAAGGAAUUAGCAUGUUAUAUCAAGAGUUCUUAACAGGAAACACUAUUGUCAGCCAGUAUUAAUCACCUAGGGCACAGAAUAAAAACUUUCAUUAAAUCUUCAAUGGGCUUACAAAAGAAAACACAUGAUUCCAUGCAUCACUCUAUACAGAUCCAAAUCUCAUCAAACAAAUAUUUAAGUAGUCUAAAUUCCCUUCUGCAUGUUAUUUUGUUUCCUUUUGCUUGGGUUUACAGAUUGAGAAUGGAGACACUGAAACUGACCUUUGGUUGUGAUAGAACUUUCUUUAGACACCUAAAUAUGAUGGGUUACUAUAGAUUUCAAAUUCCUUUCGGAAUAUGGGGUAUGUUACCACUAGGUCACUCUAAAACAAUGAGUGCCCAAAGCAACUGCAACUGGAUUUGGGAUAAAACGGGUAGAAGUCCCUUUAUUCUUGAGCACCAAGGUAAAAAUACAUCCCUGUCCUAAGCAGCCCAGUCACUACUGGGAUGGCAGGCGAGGGAGAGGUGGUCUUUUGUGGGAGAGGGCAGGGCUGGUGACAACCUAGGGAACAAGGCAGGGACUGCAGGGAACUAGACAAGAGGAUGAAGAAGGCGAGAAAAGGGAAGGGUGACUGAGUGAGUGGCCUUAAGUAGAGCCUCUCAAACUUCACAGCCCAUUACGGCUUUUAAAAAUCCGACUCCGGACCGGGUCAGAGGAAUUAGGCCAGGCCUCUGGCAGUGAAACCCAGGCAUCAGCAGUUUUAAACUGAGGCCACUGUGAACGUAAGUUUGGGGGCCAGAAGACCAGAGGCAGUGACCAGCAGAGAGGAGGAGCGCCAGCCAGGGACCCGGGAAUUAGCCGGGCCGGGGAAAGCCCGAAGGCUCCGCCUCUUCCUGCGGCCGGGAGGAGACGCCGAGAGCCCGACAUGAGGCUCCUCCAGGGACAGCCGGGGUUAGCAGAGAUUAUGAUGAAGGUAAAGACCAAUGUUGGCAAGAACACGGGGAAAGGAACAAUCUCAUGCUUAGUUGCUGGAGAAAUAAGAAAAGGGAGACAUAGAAAGGAUUAGAAACUUACCUUAAGUACUUUAACUCAAAAGUGGAAGAGCUGGGAUACAAAUCCAGAGAAGUGUUCACCUUAAGCAUCAAAGCCUGAACCCUCCCCGCUAGCCUCCCACCCCCACUCUGAGGAGGACAAGAUGUGAGAAGAAAGAAGGAGGCAAGAGUCAGAUUUUUUUCUGCUCCUGUGGGAUCCUGCUGACUGAAAUAUUUACAAGUAUGGAAAUGGCACAGAGGAAGUCCACUUACUGCUGGAGAAGAAAGGUCGGAAUUGGGCUUGUAGCAUCCUCAGUGAGCCAGCUCAGAAGGCUUCUUUGCCCUGACCUAGCUCCAGGCAAGUAGCUAUCAGGCCUGUUUGGGGUAAGCGAUACAAAGAAGAUAAAACACCAACAGCAGUUUUAAAGUCAGAACUGCUGCUUGAGUUGCCACACUCCCAGCAGAAUAAUACAGCCAUGUUUUGGAGGAUUUUCAUGAGAUGAAAUUUUAACAGGUAUAUUAGAAAGACUGAGGGAAGUAACUCUAUAAAAGUUUAAAGUCCGUGCAUAGUGGUAGAUUUUAAAUCCAUAGUCAAGGCUUUGUUUUGACUACCAUCUGACUUUCAAAGACAUUUCUAUUGUAAAUUAAUAAACUUUUAUAAUGACGAGAUAUUUUCUGGCUUAAGAAAUCAAUCAUGAAAUUGGUAAUCUAUAAAUAAUUUAUAAACAUAAAACUGCUAUUGUUGCUACUGUUUUUUCUAUUUAUCAGCAAUAUUUUUCAUAUUCUUAUUGUCCAUUGAAUUUGACUUGAAUAGUAAUGUUUAUUUGCAUAUGUUUUUGCAUGUGCCAACUUUGAGUGUUAGGGUGAGUUAUAUCAGACCUCCUAUUUAGAAAUAUUGACAUUAAGUAAAGACAAACAAAGGGAACCAAGGAAUUGACUCCGAGAGUUCACUAGAUUAAUCUGUUAUCAGAACCAGGAACAUAUAUUUAGAAUUUGCCUUUCUCAAACUAUAUCAAGCCCCAUCUAUAGUUCUAGAUAACUUUUUUAGCCUGAACAUAUAUUCGUAUAUGAGGGAAUAUGGCAAAUAACCCCAUGCCAAUCAAUGACAGGAACAGCUGAGAUGACACAAAUAGACUCAACAACAUCAAUGAUAAUGUAUAUUCCCUGUAGAUAGAACAAUCUCUCCCACAUAGUGGUAAUAUUUGGUCCUUAGCUAAUAUUUGAUAUUUUACUUCUCAGGAGAGCGUCCCAUCCUCUGAUCUCUCUUCUGAGUUGGGAAUUACUAGUUGCUCAUGCUGUGAUUCUGUUUAUCUGUUAGAGAAGACAGGAAGGGGUUUCACCUCUUUCGCAUUUUUAUACAUCAUUUGUGACUGAAUAACCUAUAUUAAAGUGAUUAAAAUUUGUAUCGGACACCAUUCAUGCAUACACCCAUCUUCUUCAGGUUUAUUCUGACUCUGUGUUUGUGUUUAGUAGUGUUGAUAGGGAAGAUAAUAAGUACAUCCAGGUAUAUUUUGACAAAACACAUUAAUGUCAUAAAAUAACAUUUGAUACUUUUCUAUUUUAAGCCAAAAAAGAUCAUUCAUCACUUAAUCUAUUAAAGCUGAAUUGACUUGAGAAUAUGUUUAUUUCCUUUUAAAAAGAAUUGUAUUGGCAUAUA
This is a non-coding RNA of Sus scrofa (pig), 3478 nucleotides long. The record is from RefSeq and is a predicted model, not a curated record. Lineage: Eukaryota; Metazoa; Chordata; Mammalia; Artiodactyla; Suidae.